This 332-nucleotide ribosomal RNA is filed under the name uncultured Desulfomonile sp. RNAcentral's name for it is "bacterial SSU rRNA". It matches the Rfam family "Bacterial small subunit ribosomal RNA", at positions 568 to 898 of the family's 1533-position model. The record is from RNAcentral. Lineage: Bacteria; Pseudomonadati; Thermodesulfobacteriota; Desulfomonilia; Desulfomonilales; Desulfomonilaceae.
CGUGUAGGCGGUCGGAUAAGUGAGAUGUGAAAUGCCCCGGCUCACCCGGGGACCUGCAUCUCAAACUGUCCGGCUAGAGUAUGGGAGAGGAUGAGGGAAUUCCUGGUGUAGCGGUGAAAUGCGUAGAUAUCAGGAGGAACACCGGUGGCGAAAGCGCUCAUCUGGCCCAAUACUGACGCUGAGGCGCGAAAGCUAGGGGAGCAAACGGGAUUAGAUACCCCGGUAGUCCUAGCCGUAAACGGUGAGCACUAGGUGUUGGAGGCAUCGACCCCUCCAGUGCCGCAGCUAACGCAUUAAGUGCUCCGCCUGGGGAGUACGGCCGCAAGGUUGAA